Molecule: transfer RNA, 71 nt
Filed under: Eupristina koningsbergeri
Lineage: Eukaryota; Metazoa; Arthropoda; Insecta; Hymenoptera; Agaonidae
Description: tRNA-Gln
Source: RNAcentral
UUAUAGUUGGUGUAUGUUUGCAUAAAAAAUUUUGGAUUUUUUGGGGAUUAAUAUUUUAUUAUCACUAUAGC